This 492-nucleotide ribosomal RNA is filed under the name uncultured bacterium. Its description in RNAcentral is "partial 16S ribosomal RNA". It matches the Rfam family "Bacterial small subunit ribosomal RNA", at positions 30 to 507 of the family's 1533-position model. The record is from RNAcentral.
AUUGAACGCUGGCGGCAUGCUUUACACAUGCCAGUCGAACGGUAACAGGCCUUCGGGUGCUGACGAGUGGCGAACGGGUGAGUAAUGCAUCGGAACGUGCCCAGAGGUGGGGGAUAACGCAGCGAAAGCUGUGCUAAUACCGCAUGUGAUCUGAGGAUGAAAGCGGGGGACCAGGCAGCAAUGUUUGGCCUCGCGCCUUUGGAGCGGCCGAUGUCAGAUUAGGUAGUUGGUGGGGUAAAGGCCUACCAAGCCGACGAUCUGUAGCUGGUCUGAGAGGACGACCAGCCACACUGGGACUGAGACACGGCCCAGACUCCUACGGGAGGCAGCAGUGGGGAAUUUUGGACAAUGGGCGCAAGCCUGAUCCAGCAAUGCCGCGUGCGGGAAGAAGGUCUUCGGGUUGUAAACCGCUUUUGUACGGAACGAAAAGGCUCUGGCUAAUACCUGGGGCUGAUGACGGUACCGUAAGAAUAAGCACCGGCUAACUACGUG